Molecule: long non-coding RNA, 3388 nt
Organism: Sphaeramia orbicularis (orbiculate cardinalfish)
Lineage: Eukaryota; Metazoa; Chordata; Actinopteri; Kurtiformes; Apogonidae
Exons: 2
Source: RefSeq, a predicted model, not a curated record
GGUCACCCAGUUUGUCUUCGAUGGCGGCGAGGUCGCGCUCCAUUCCAGUCAGCUUCCUCUGCAGAGCCAUGACGCCGGCCAGGUCGUUCCCCAGCUCCUGGGUCGACUCAAUCACCUGGACAGACGGCGGAUCGGGUGGUAGUUCUGGAUGCCCAGAGCCGAGUUCAGGCUAUCCUUCUUCUGGUCCACCAGGUCUCUGAACUGACUCCACCUGGACACACACCAGAACAUGUAUCACCACCAACCACUGGAACUCAACUAUUUACAUUUUUACUUUACAUUUCAGUGGUCACCAUCAAACUAAAGCAUUUUGUUUCUGUUUACUUCUUGUUUAGCUCCUUUCUUUAUCAGUCCGUUUACCACUUAUUCCUGGGGUAGUUUUUUGGUUGUUGCUUAGUAUUCUUCAAAAUUUAGAGAACUUUGAGUAUUUCACCGUCUAUGCAACAUAAAUUGAUCUUAGAUUUUAAGAAUCUGGAGAAAUCAGUGUACAAGGGAGAAGUCUGAAAAUCAUUUUUCGAUGCCUGACGUGUGGAUCCUCAAGCUGCACUGCAUUAAAGCCAGACAUGAUUCUGUGAUGGAAGUCACUGCAUGGGCUCAGGAAAACUUCCAGAUAUUGUCGUCUAUUAACACAGUUCACCUGCUCCACAAACGGAGGUUAAAGCUCUACCACGCAAAGAACAACAAGAAGAACAUGACCCAGAAAUGCCACCAUCCUCUCUGGGUAGAACUUCAACAUUUAAUCUUAAUGUUUUCUCUUUUAUCAGUCAGGAUUUAUUUCUCAUUCUAAUCUAAAUAUAUUUCAUUUAUUUAAUCUCACUUAAAAAACACACAUAUAAAAAUCAAUUAUCAAAAAAAUCUCAUUUCCAUCCUUUAAACCUGAUAGUGUAAAUGACUUGAUAACAGCCUGUUUUAACCCAGAGAGAUUACCUGGUGUUCAGUUUGUCCUGUUGGGCUUUGAUUUCCUUCUCACUGGGAUGUCCGCUGUGGAUCAGUUGCCUGGCAACCUGGUUCACCACAGCAACCCGGGAUGCCUGGUUGUUCAUCUCUGGCUCCAAACUCUCAAAUCUGCACAGAGACCAAGAAGGAGAGGAUGUUAAAACUUACAUCGAGAAAGAAAACAGAUGAUGUAACUUGCAUUUACUGUUUUAUUUACAGCUACUGAAAGUCCUGGAUUCUGAUUGGUUCAAAGGGAUGGAUUCAACACCUAUGCUGCUCUCACUAUGGCCUCUGUUACUAAUUCAAAUUAUUUCUUCUCCUUCCUCUUCUUCUUCUUAUUAAUUUGCAACUUUUCUUGCUCUAGAAAAAUGUAAAUGCAACAUGUUUGGUACUUGUAUCAAAUUUGCAAAGAAAACUCUUUGAAGCUUCUUCAACAUACCAACAAACACGUGAACUACAUGAGAAAAAUAUUCACAGCAGUGAAGUUAGCAAAAAUAACUGGCCAUGACUGUAGUUUUAUCCAGAAAAAAAAAAGAUUAAAUACAUACAGAAUUUUUCAUGUUUUCAAAUUACUCAUAUGGAUUUUGCUGACAAGAGACCCGGAGCUACAGAUCCACCUUAUGUGACGUUCAGACUGGAUUUCUACAAAGAUGAAUCUCUGUGGUGAAGCUCAAACGUCACAAUGGACUGGUUUCUAUAUCUGACCCUGCACUUAUGUUUCUAACAAGUAAAAACCAGGAGUGUCCUGGUUCCUAAUGUUUCAGAGUUAACUGGUCUUCACAAAGACAGAAGAGCACAAACACACAGCAGCACAUCUGGAAUCAGAUCCAUGUGAUGCUUUGUGGUAAGAGAAUAUGGAAGGAAACGUAGCAGAAAACCAACCAUGUAACCACAGCCCAAAAUACACACACUGGCUCUGGUUCCCACAGAGACAAAAACACACCAGUGGCUGUCCUUCAGGGUCUUGGGGGGUGGGGUGGGGAUUUACCACCAUGUUCAUGUUCAGAUUAUAAGUAGGUCCUUGAAAAGAACAUGUCCCUGUACGAGGCUCCAGUCCCUGGUCUGGGUCUUAAACAAAGACCAUGUGGGUGUGGUUGUUCAUCAGCUGCAGACCCCAGACCCGUCCUCACCUGUGCUGGAUCACCUCCAGGUCCUCCAGUUUCUCGGGGAUCGCCAUACUGUUGAGCCACUGCUCCUUCUCGUCGAUCCACACCUCGCAGGCGUUGGCUUCACUCAGCAUCUUAUAGAGCGCCAGUGCGUCCUGCAGGGCCUGUUUCCGGAGCCGAGUCAGCUCCACCACCUCCUUGUAACGCUCCUCAAUGCCGGCCAGGCGGCUCUGAACCUGCAGCACCACAACAACAUACACAACAGGACACAAACGUGGUCAACUGGAACCGACUGCAAAUGUCACUUAUUUAAAUGCAUCACUGUGUUAAUUAAUCUGGAACCAUUUACAAUGUCAUGUAUGUACAUGUAUAUAGUGAGCUGAAUGAUUUAUCAGCAGCUCCUGGUUGAUGCACAAUUAUUACAACUAUUAUAACUAUUACUGAGAAACUGUGAGACUGAAGAAUACAAAGCAGGAUUCUCAGGCAGGUUCUGUAGAUGCAAAAGUUCUUUUUCUGUAUUUUAAGCAUACUUAUGUACAAUUAUCCAAAGCUGCCCAGACAUACAGAUAUAUAAUAUAUAUAUAUAUACAGAUAUAUAAUAUAUAUAUAUGGUUUUCCCCUGUAAGUCGCUUUGGAAAAAAAGCGUCUGCCAAAUGCGUAAACAUAAACAUAAACAUAUAAAGAUUUCUGAAAAUUUAAGUCACACAGAGUCUGAAAACAUGUUGGUGGAUUAUGUGAUUGGGUUUAAUCUAAUUAAAACAGGAAACUACAAGAGGAGGCAAGAAGCUCCCUCUGAUCUGUGAUCGUUUUACAUCAUUAGGAGAGAGGCGAGUUAUGUGGCAUCAGCUCCUGUUGGUUUUUGACCUGUGAAUGUACAGACGACACAUUUACAGACACUGAGGCAGAUUUAACUUGGUUAGACUUGUUGGCAGCUUCUGCAACUCAAACAACUUCAUGGAAAAAAAACAUAGUUUCCAUGAAGCUGCUUCUAGGUUUAACAGAAAGUGUUUUUGAUGAAUUUCACUUUUGGAAUUGUACACUUUUGGACAUAUCUCAGGGAUGGUGAUAUGUUCAAAAGCGUAUCAGAAGGGCAUCAUAUUCUCUGUAUGUACAGAAAACUGAAUUUAAGGUGUUCUUAAGUGUUUAAUGAACCCUAUCAAGAUGUUUUUACAUUUUUCUUGUACGUUUGUUGGUUUUUGCAGUGACAAAUGUUUACCUAAUAUUGUCUGAAAAUGCUUUUUUAAUGUCACCUGGCCUGUUCCUACAUUAAAUAUGUGAUGUGUUUACCAUUAAUCAUGGUGCAGAGGUAACCCAUUUGACAUGCCAUAAUAAAGGCCUUAAAGCUG